This 253-nucleotide ribosomal RNA is filed under the name uncultured bacterium. RNAcentral's name for it is "partial 16S ribosomal RNA". It matches the Rfam family "Bacterial small subunit ribosomal RNA", at positions 524 to 776 of the family's 1533-position model. The record is from RNAcentral.
UACGUAGGUGGCGAGCGUUGUCCGGAUUUACUGGGCGUAAAGGGAGCGUAGGCGGACUUUUAAGUGAGAUGUGAAAUACUCGGGCUCAACUUGAGUGCUGCAUUUCAAACUGGAAGUCUAGAGUGCAGGAGAGGAGAAUGGAAUUCCUAGUGUAGCGGUGAAAUGCGUAGAGAUUAGGAAGAACACCAGUGGCGAAGGCGAUUCUCUGGACUGUAACUGACGCUGAGGCGCGAAAGCGUGGGGAGCAAACAGG